AUUGAACGCUGGCGGCAGGCCUAACACAUGCAAGUCGAGCGGAUGAAGGGAGCUUGCUCCUGGAUUCAGCGGCGGACGGGUGAGUAAUGCCUAGGAAUCUGCCUGGCAGUGGGGGAUAACGUCCGGAAACGGGCGCUAAUACCGCAUACGUCCUGAGGGAGAAAGUGGGGGAUCUUCGGACCUCACGCUAUCAGAUGAGCCUAGGUCGGAUUAGCUAGUUGGUGGGGUAAAGGCCUACCAAGGCGACGAUCCGUAACUGGUCUGAGAGGAUGAUCAGUCACACUGGAACUGAGACACGGUCCAGACUCCUACGGGAGGCAGCAGUGGGGAAUAUUGGACAGUGGGCGAAAGCCUGAUCCAGCCAUGCCGCGUGUGUGAAGAAGGUCUUCGGAUUGUAAAGCACUUUAAGUUGGGAGGAAGGGCAGUAAGUUAAUACCUUGCUGUUUUGACGUUACCAACAGAAUAAGCACCGGCUAACUUCGUG
This 484-nucleotide ribosomal RNA is filed under the name uncultured bacterium. RNAcentral's name for it is "partial 16S ribosomal RNA". It matches the Rfam family "Bacterial small subunit ribosomal RNA", at positions 30 to 507 of the family's 1533-position model. The record is from RNAcentral.